CUAUUGAAAUACCUCAGUGAACUAAGAAUUAUGUAAUAAAUUUAAAUAUGUUGCUAUAAUAUUUUUCAUGAGUUUAUGAUCUUAUAUUGUUCUAAGUAGGAAAAACAUUGUACUCCUGUAAACACUUAGUCAUAGUUGUGUCUCACCCUUAUUUUUCUUCCACUGAAUCAUUCUUUCCUCCAUUAGGCAUCAGGCAAGCAGUCUCCAAGCAUGAAACAUCAUUCACCUCAUUUCAGACAGACCCUGUGACAAAUUACAGCCUCCUCAGACAUUAAAAAUACAUUGAUCAAGAGAAGUUGUAAGACAUGGAAGAAAAAUUAAUCCAUACCUCUCUUAGAAAAAAAAGAAGGAACCACUUUGCUGAAUGACCUUUGAGCUGAAUAGACCAUCGAGUUUUAAAAGUACCUGCCAGUUUCACAUCCCUUCUGAGAUUUUCAAAAGAAUUGCGAGAUUAUAACUGGCAUGAACCUAGCAGUUGAUUGUGUUAUGUAUGAUCAAAAGACAAUUCAAUCUCUGAUUUUUUUUCCUCAUCUUAAGGAACACACUAGAUCAACCAAAGUCUCACAACAACCCUGUGAAGAAGAUGUGAAGUACAGAAAUGAUGUACUUGCCCAGAGACUCCUACAUGGAUAUCAGAGCUAGUACAUGGAUACAACCAUCCCAUUGGACAACUAAGAAUAUAUGUCAAAAGAUUCUGGAGCAAAGUCCCUGAAGAGAACACAUUGAAGCAACAGGUGAUAACUAUAAAGGCCUGGUGUGUGUGCUCAGCUAUUAUUUAUAACUUUAAAGAGCAACUGAAUGAUUUUGGACCUCUGCUGAAAUUCAAACCAAAUUAGAAGCCAGACGGUUGUUACCCAUAAUCCCCACAUGAGAUGAAUCCCAGGAAGCCCAUCUGCUUGAAUUCCCCAUUUCCACAUGGAAGUUAGGAUCUCCAGCUAUUCAUAAUCUGCCCUUUCCUUACCCCAUGGGGAGAAGCUGGCUGUGCAACUCCAUUCUGUCUGCACUUAACACAACCACGGGAUGCCAGGAGAAGUCCUGCUGGCUGCAAACGGUGAGGGCCUCUGGUGCAAUUAGAAGAGACUGAAAAGGCACAGAAGCAGAGCAUAAGCAUUGGACAGACUCGUGAACUACAGGAGGAGGUGUAAAAUGAUGAACUAGAACUGGACUAUGUCCAAGAACUGUGGCAAUUCUAAAAUAAUGUGGUUCUAUGAAUGCACAGGCAUCCGAGCUUGAUAUUUAUGAUCCUGGUUGGAUGCAUCUCUGGAAGCACAGCAGUACCGCAGCCAAGUUUAAAAAGAAUACCUUCAUUAAUUAAUUUUCCAACACCAGAAUACGUGACAAGGGUCCCAGGGAAGACAAACUCAGGCAGAAAAUUUAAAACCAUAAGAAAUUGCAAAGAUUGAAGGCCACGCAAAUCCUACGGUGGUAUUGUGGGUGGGCAGUGCUCCAGAAAUUGUCCCCCCCGCCCAUUUCAUAUUUCCUUCCCCUUAAGGAAGUCCCCUUUUUCUGUUUGCCCACCUUUGUUCAUGGAGGUGGCCUCUUGCCUCUGGCUGUGUUUGCUACUGGUAGCAAAGCUUUAAACCUUCUCCAGUAAAAGGCACACAGAAGAAACACCGCGUAUUAUAAAGAAGCAUAAAUACCCUUCACAAACAGAAUGAAAAGGCCCAUUCCUCAUGUGGAAGACAAGGCAUUGUCUUUCUGACAAGCUUUACCUUCGAGCCCAGAGGACACCAUUAGAGCACUUUUCCCUUCUUCCCAAUAAAACCACUGAGACUGGAUCUGCCAACAUGAUUGUCUCACGGUUGUGGUGCAUUAGAGAAAUGGAAGGUGUCCCUUGCUCCCUGACACGAGCUUUCACCUUUACUAUAGCUUGCAGUGAGGCACAGAAAUAAAAGCAGCUGCAAGACGAAUUCCAGUUUCCUCUUCAGUCCUUUAUUGUGGUCGUAUUGUGGGAAAAUAAAAACAUGUCUUCCAUUUUAAUAUAGGCCAAAGUCUGAUGAACUGGAAAUAGAGGAAGAACACAUAUGAAAGAGCUUACGUGUCAGGUGGACCAUUUGUGUCUGGCACGUGUUAUACUUUCCACUUAACUAUAUUUAGGGUAUUAAUUAUGGUCCAAUGCUGCUUUCCUGCCUGAGGAGCAAUGAGAGAAAAAAAAAUGCCCAGCGAUGUUUUUGAAUAGAAAGAGUAAAAAGUGGAGCAUCUUUUAAAAUAUGUGGGAUUCUUAAAAUUACAUAUGGGGCUACAUAUGGAAAAUAGGACUUGUCUCAUAUCUGUUCAUUCAUUUUUAGGAAAACCCACACAGGUACUCGUUUAUAUU
Felis catus (domestic cat) is the source of this 2317-nucleotide long non-coding RNA. RefSeq lists it as uncharacterized. The transcript is spliced from 8 exons. The record is from RefSeq and is a predicted model, not a curated record. NCBI's taxonomy places the organism in Eukaryota, Metazoa, Chordata, Mammalia, Carnivora, Felidae.